This is a non-coding RNA of Cerioporus squamosus, 123 nucleotides long. Lineage: Eukaryota; Fungi; Basidiomycota; Agaricomycetes; Polyporales; Polyporaceae. The record is from the annotation of a GenBank genome assembly.
GGCACUAUAGUGUAGUGGUUAUCACUUGGGAUUUUGAAAGCGGAUUGCGGACCGACCCCUCACCGUGUCGGUCCGCGAUCCGUGGCCCUUCCCAUAACCCAGGUUCGAACCCUGGUAGUGCCU